Molecule: ribosomal RNA, 535 nt
Filed under: uncultured bacterium
Lineage: Bacteria
Description: bacterial SSU rRNA
Rfam family: Bacterial small subunit ribosomal RNA
Source: RNAcentral
GGAUUCCAUGGGGGAACCCUGACGCAGCACGCCGCGUGGAGGAUGAAGUCCUUCGGGACGUAAACUCCUUUCGAUCGGGACGAUUAUGACGGUACCGGAAGAAGAAGCCCCGGCUAACUUCGUGCCAGCAGCCGCGGUAAUACGAGGGGGGCGAGCGUUGUUCGGAAUUAUUGGGCGUAAAGGGUGCGUAGGCGGUUUGGUAAGUCUUCUGUGAAAUCUAUGGGCUCAACUCAUAGACUGCAUGAGAAACUGCCGGGCUUGAGUGUGGGAGAGGUGAGUGGAAUUUCCGGUGUAGCGGUGAAAUGCGUAGAUAUCGGAAGGAACACCUGUGGCGAAAGCGGCUCACUGGACCACAACUGACGCUGAUGCACGAAAGCUAGGGGAGCAAACAGGAUUAGAUACCCUGGUAGUCCUAGCCCUAAACCAUGAUUGCUUGGUGUGACGGGUACCCAAUCCCGCCGUGCCGUAGCUAACGCGUUAAGCAAUCCGCCUGGGGAGUACGGUCGCAAGGCUGAAACUCAAAGAAAUUGACGGA